Molecule: ribosomal RNA, 487 nt
Filed under: Fusarium oxysporum f. sp. cepae
Lineage: Eukaryota; Fungi; Ascomycota; Sordariomycetes; Hypocreales; Nectriaceae
Description: eukaryotic LSU rRNA
Rfam family: 5.8S ribosomal RNA (bases 121-274)
Source: RNAcentral
GACAUACCACUUGUUGCCUCGGCGGAUCAGCCCGCUCCCGGUAAAACGGGACGGCCCGCCAGAGGACCCCUAAACUCUGUUUCUAUAUGUAACUUCUGAGUAAAACCAUAAAUAAAUCAAAACUUUCAACAACGGAUCUCUUGGUUCUGGCAUCGAUGAAGAACGCAGCAAAAUGCGAUAAGUAAUGUGAAUUGCAGAAUUCAGUGAAUCAUCGAAUCUUUGAACGCACAUUGCGCCCGCCAGUAUUCUGGCGGGCAUGCCUGUUCGAGCGUCAUUUCAACCCUCAAGCACAGCUUGGUGUUGGGACUCGCGUUAAUUCGCGUUCCUCAAAUUGAUUGGCGGUCACGUCGAGCUUCCAUAGCGUAGUAGUAAAACCCUCGUUACUGGUAAUCGUCGCGGCCACGCCGUUAAACCCCAACUUCUGAAUGUUGACCUCGGAUCAGGUAGGAAUACCCGCUGAACUUAAGCAUAUCAAUAAGCGGAGGAA